RNAcentral lists this ribosomal RNA (396 nucleotides) under uncultured bacterium. RNAcentral's name for it is "partial 16S ribosomal RNA". It matches the Rfam family "Bacterial small subunit ribosomal RNA", at positions 523 to 917 of the family's 1533-position model. The record is from RNAcentral.
AUACGUAGGGGGCGAGCGUUGUCCGGAAUGAUUGGGCGUAAAGGGCGCGUAGGCGGCGCGGUAAGUCUGGAGUGAAAGUCCUGCUUUCAAGGUGGGAAUUGCUUUGGAUACUGCCGCGCUUGAGUGCAGGAGAGGUUAUCGGAAUUCCCGGUGUAGCGGUGAAAUGCGUGGAGAUCGGGAGGAACACCAGUGGCGAAGGCGGGUAACUGGACUGCAACUGACGUUGAGGCGCGAAAGCGUGGGGAGCGAACAGGAUUAGAUACCCUGGUAGUCCACGCGGUAAACGAUGAAUGCUAGGUGUUGCGGGUAUCGACCCCUGCAGUGCCGGAGUAAACACAAUAAGCAUUCCGCCUGGGGAGUACGGCCGCAAGGUUGAAACUCAAAUGAAUUGGCGGG